Molecule: long non-coding RNA, 1523 nt
Organism: Vollenhovia emeryi
Lineage: Eukaryota; Metazoa; Arthropoda; Insecta; Hymenoptera; Formicidae
Exons: 3
Source: RefSeq, a predicted model, not a curated record
AAUUCAAGUACAUAAUAAAAAUAACGUUAAUGGUACAAUGCUACGUAAUUUUAAAAGUAAAAAGUAAACGCAGCCAUUUUGAUUCUAUCCAAAUCGCCAAAUUUUAAUCACGUUAUAGGCUUUCUAUUUUAUUGAAAUCAAGCCAAUAAACUGUUAAUUUAAAUCGACCUUUUGAAUUUUAAUCAAAAUUCAAUCAAUUAGGAAAUUAUCAUUAACCUUUAGAAAAUUGUAGAUUUUAUAGACGUUUACAAAAAAGUUAAAUAAAAAAUGGAAUUGAGUACAUUGGGCCGAUUAUAGUGACAGACUUGCAAGGAAGAAAGCAAUAUAAUGCACAUCGUGUGUUUUAUACAGUAAAAUGUGCAGCAUGGAUAAAUAAUAACGGGAGAAAAGAACGGCGAGAAAGUCGUCAAAAAGAGAAAUAAUAAUCGACACAUUCGCUUAUUAAAUCGAAAGCAACGGACGGCAGUGGGAACAAUUUUACAGUGUGAAAGUACUUUAAUUUUCAAAAUGUUUUCUUAUUAAGUCGCGUGGUAUCAUAAGUCUCAAUGGGAUGAGUUAUUUGCGAGGAUAAUGAUCGUUCGCAUUAAUUCAUAUUACAACUGAAAAUUCUUCUCGAACGUCAAUGCCACGCCAUCAACAAAGUGAGCACUCUAAUAAAUUGUGGCCUAGAAAAAUGCGCAAAACUCCAAAAGGGUGUUCUGUCACGAAAUCGACAAAUUUUGUCAACGUGUUCGGAUGGUUAUCCUAACUAGAUAAGUUUAUAUAUAUAUAUAUAUAUCAUGGAUCGAUUUGGCUUCCCAAGAUAUGAGAAAAGAACACUAUUGUACAAGGCUCCAUACUGAAAGCUCUCUGAUUUCCAUGUAUAUGUAAUGACCGUUUGAUUUAUCGAUAUGAAAUCACAUUAAUGUUAAGUAUCACUUGACAAUUACAGUACAAUGCCCUCCCGUUCACAGAUAUUGUUUUAAAUUGUCUAUCACAGUGCCGCAAACAUGCUGCGAGCCGUUACUCCAGUGAUUACAUUCAAAGAACAUUAGCAAUUACGAUGUAUUCUACCUGCAGUUUCUGUUAUCGCCUGUACUCACUGAUCUCGUAUUUCUUGCUUUCCAGUGCAAGUAUACUCCGGAAAUUAUACGGCCCCGCAAGAAAAAGUGCAACCUCCGGUACAUUGGCAUUUCAAUCCUUAUCUUGGAAACGAAGUCAACUCGACUUACGGUGUAUAUGAAUUUUUAUACUUUUUUUUUUUAAGAAAUACCCUCCGAACAACGCUUGUUCUUUUCGUGACGAACUAUUCUAUAAUUACUGUUAUAAUUAAAAUGAUCACAAGUACUUCAAAUUGUCGGUUCUUUAUUUUAUGUUAAUUAUAAUAUUGUAAUAUAAUCAUAAUUGUAAAUAUAAUUGUGUUUAUUACUAUCAAAGUAAUUAAAAUAUCACGAUUAUAAUUAAAUGACAUGUUAUGCUAUAAUAUCAUUAAUUGUAGAAAUAUCCUGUCUCAAAAAAAUUCAAUAAAUAAUUUUUGUUGUCGA